Molecule: ribosomal RNA, 2929 nt
Filed under: Longibacter salinarum
Lineage: Bacteria; Pseudomonadati; Rhodothermota; Rhodothermia; Rhodothermales; Salisaetaceae
Description: bacterial LSU rRNA
Rfam family: Bacterial large subunit ribosomal RNA
Source: RNAcentral
GUUAAGCAUACUUAAGGCUUUUGGUGAAUGCCUUGGCAUGGAUAGGCGAUGAAGGACGUGAUAAGCUGCGAUAAGCUACGGGGAGCUGCAAAUGAGCUGAGAUCCGUAGAUGUCCGAAUGGGGAAACCCGGUAGGUUCAGCCUGCCACUUAGCACUGAAUACAUAGGUGUUAAGAGCAAACCCGGCCAACUGAAACAUCUCAGUAGCCGGAGGAGAAGAGAACAAGAGUGAUUUCCUGAGUAGCGGCGAGCGAAAGGGAAAAAGCCCAAACUGAUGUGGUUUCGGCUGCAUCAGGGUUGUAGGGCCCGCAAUAUGAGUCACGCGACGAAGACGAAGCUGUCUGGAAAGCAGCACCAUAGAAGGUGAUAGUCCUGUAGACGUAAAGCAACUGACUCUAGCGGGGUCCCUGAGUACCACGGGACAGGAGAAAUCCUGUGGGAAUCUGCCAGCACCAUCUGGUAAGGCUAAAUACUCAUCCAUGACCGAUAGUGAACCAGUACCGUGAGGGAAAGGUGAAAAGAACGCCUAAUAGGCGAGUAAAAAGUACCUGAAACCAAAAGCUUACAACCAGUUGGAGCCCCUUCGUGGGGUGACAGCGUGCCUUUUGCUUAAUGAGCCUACGAGUUGCUCCUCCCUGGCAAGGCUAAGACCUUCAGGGUCGAAACCGCAGCGAAAGCAAGUCUGAAUAGGGCGAUGAGUCAGUGGGGGCAGACGCGAAACCGGGUGAGCUACCUAUGGCCAGGUUGAAGCGCGGGUAAGACCGCGUGGAGGACCGAACCGCCUGACGUUGAAAAGUCAUCGGAUGAGCUGUGGGUAGGGGUGAAAGGCCAAUCAAACCCGGAAAUAGCUCGUACUCCCCGAAAUGCAUUUAGGUGCAGCACCGCGUUAAAGUCUAUUGGAGGUAGAGCACUGAUUGGGCUAGGGCCCUUCACCGGGUACCAAACCCAGACAAACUCCGAAUACCAAUCAGACGUUCCGCGGCAGUGAGGGCACGGGGGAUAAGCUCCGUGUCCGAGAGGGAAACAACCCAGAUCGACAGCUAAGGCCCCAAAGUUUAGGUUAAGUUGAACGAAGGAAGUUAGACUGCAUAGACAACCAGGAUGUUGGCUUAGAAGCAGCCAUUCAUUAAAAGAGUGCGUAAUAGCUCACUGGUCGAGCGGUUUAGCGCCGAAAAUAACCGGGCAUCAAACCUAACGCCGAAGCUUCGAAUGUGUCUUUUAGGCACAUGGUAGGGGAGCAUUCCAGCGACGUCGAAGCAGUGUUGUGAAGCGCUGUGGAGUUUCUGGAAAAGAAAAUGUAGGCAUGAGUAACGAUAAGACAGGCGAGAAACCUGUCCGCCGUAAGCCUAAGAAUUCCUGUUCAACGUUAAUCGGAACAGGGUAAGUCGAGACCUAAGCCGAGGCCGAAAGGCGUAGGCGAUGGAAAACGGGUUAAUAUUCCCGUACCACUCGAAGACGUUAAUGUAAGGCGUGACACGGAUGCGUAAGGACCGCGUGCUGUUGGAUUAGCACGUUGAAGCGCGUAGGCUGAGAACUAGGUAAAUCCGGUUCUCGUGAAGGCUGAAACGCGACAGUAUGGGGAGCCUCCGGGCAAACCAAUAGAGUCCCUAAGCAGGCCGUCAAGAAAAGCGUCGUACAUUGUCAAGAGUGCUCGUAUCUUAAACCGACACAGGUAGGCGAGGAGAGUAUCCUCAGGCGCUCGAGUGAUUCGCGGUUAAGGAAUUCGGCAAAUUAGCCCCGUAACUUCGGGAGAAGGGGCACCCGCUCUCGUUCAAAAGGGAGAGUGGGUCGCAGUGAACAGAUCCAAACGACUGUUUAACAAAAACACAGACCUCUGCUAAGUCGCAAGACGACGUAUAGGGGUUGACACCUGCCCGGUACUGGAAGGUCAAGGGAGUGUGUUAAUACCUUCGGGUAUGAAGCUCACGACUGAAGCCCCAGUAAACGGCGGCCGUAACUAUAACGGUCCUAAGGUAGCGAAAUUCCUUGUCGGGUAAGUUCCGACCUGCACGAAUGGUGCAACGAUUUGGAUACUGUCUCGACCGCGAGCUCGGUGAAAUUGUGGUGCCGGUGAAGACGCCGGCUUCCCUCAGUGGGACGGAAAGACCCCGUGCACCUUUACUACACCUUGGCAUUGACAUUAGUCAGGAUUUGUGCAGGAUAGGCGGGAGACUUUGAAGCUGCGUCGCUAGGCGUGGUGGAGUCACCCUUGGAAUACCGCCCUAAUCCUGAUUGAUGCCUAACCAUCGACCGUUAGCCGGUCGUGGGACAUUGUCAGGCGGGUAGUUUGACUGGGGCGGUCUCCUCCUAAAUAGUAACGGAGGAUUUCAAAGGUACCCUCAGCAUGGUCGGUAAUCAUGCGCAGAGUGCAAAGGCAAAAGGGUGCUUGACUGUGAGACAUACAGGUCGAACAGGAGCGAAAGCUGGACUUAGUGAUCCGGUGGUUCUGUAUGGAAGGGCCAUCGCUCAAAGGAUAAAAGGUACGCCGGGGAUAACAGGCUUAUCUCCGCCAAGAGUUCAUAUCGACGCGGAGGUUUGGCACCUCGAUGUCGGCUCGUCGCAUCCUGGGGCUGAAGAAGGUCCCAAGGGUUGGGCUGUUCGCCCAUUAAAGCGGCACGCGAGCUGGGUUCAGAACGUCGUGAGACAGUUCGGUCCCUAUCUACUGAGGGCGUUGGAAAUUUGAGCGGAGCUGCUUCUAGUACGAGAGGACCGAAGUGGACGGACCGCUAGUGUACGAGUUAUGCCGCCAGGUGUAUCGCUCGGUAGCUAUGUCCGGAAGGGAUAAGCGCUGAAAGCAUCUAAGCACCAAGCCCCCCGCAAGAAUAGAUUUCCCCAAUAGGUCGUUCGAGAUGAGAACGUGGAUAGGCAGCAGGUGUAAGCAUGGCAACAUGUUCAGCCGAGCUGUACUAAUUACCUAUGAGGCUUAGCAC